This 484-nucleotide ribosomal RNA is filed under the name uncultured bacterium. RNAcentral's name for it is "partial 16S ribosomal RNA". It matches the Rfam family "Bacterial small subunit ribosomal RNA", at positions 30 to 507 of the family's 1533-position model. The record is from RNAcentral.
AUUGAACGCUGGCGGCAGGCCUAACACAUGCAAGUCGAGCGGUAGAGGGAAGCUUGCUUCUCUUGAGAGCGGCGGACGGGUGAGUAAUGCCUAGGAAUCUGCCUGGUAGUGGGGGAUAACGUUCGGAAACGGACGCUAAUACCGCAUACGUCCUACGGGAGAAAGCAGGGGACCUUCGGGCCUUGCGCUAUCAGAUGAGCCUAGGUCGGAUUAGCUAGUUGGUGGGGUAAUGGCUCACCAAGGCGACGAUCCGUAACUGGUCUGAGAGGAUGAUCAGUCACACUGGAACUGAGACACGGUCCAGACUCCUACGGGAGGCAGCAGUGGGGAAUAUUGGACAAUGGGCGAAAGCCUGAUCCAGCCAUGCCGCGUGUGUGAAGAAGGUCUUCGGAUUGUAAAGCACUUUAAGUUGGGAGGAAGGGCAGUAAGUUAAUACCUUGCUGUUUUGACGUUACCGACAGAAUAAGCACCGGCUAACUCUGUG